RNAcentral lists this small RNA (132 nucleotides) under Rahnella inusitata. Its description in RNAcentral is "tp2". It matches the Rfam family "tp2". The record is from RNAcentral. Lineage: Bacteria; Pseudomonadati; Pseudomonadota; Gammaproteobacteria; Enterobacterales; Yersiniaceae.
GCUUUUCCUUAUCUGUAUCUAAUACGUUGGUUUAUCUGGAGCCUGUCUUCCUGCGCUCUUAGUGACAGUCUUCGCUCUCAACAAAACGCACGAAGACAGGCCCGUCAUGUAGUUGCCGUGAGCCCUCAAGGG